RNAcentral lists this ribosomal RNA (1483 nucleotides) under metagenome. RNAcentral's name for it is "bacterial LSU rRNA". It matches the Rfam family "Bacterial large subunit ribosomal RNA", at positions 1468 to 2925 of the family's 2925-position model. The record is from RNAcentral.
CUUGACGGAGAAGGCUAGUUCAGCAGGGGUUGGUUCCCUGUUUAAGCAUGUAGGAGGAGUUGCCAGGCAAAUCCGGCAGCUCUUAACUCCGAGGUGUGAUGACGAGGCUCCACGCGAGCCGAAGUGAAUAACGCCCCGCUUCCAGGAAAAGCCUCUAAGCUUCAGAUCACAUUGGACCGUACCGUAAACCGACACUGGUGGGUGAGCAGAUAAUCUGCCAAGGCGCUUGAGAGAACUCGGGUUAAGGAACUCUGCAAAUUGGUACCGUAACUUCGGAAGAAGGUAUGCCUUCGACGGUGCAGGGAUUUACUCCCGAAGCUGUUGAAGGUCGCAGGUAAUCGGUGGCUGCGACUGUUUAUCAAAAACACAGGACUCUGCGAACACGCAAGUGGAAGUAUAGGGUCACGCCUGCCCGGUGCCGGAAGGUUAAUUGAUGGGGUUAGCCGCAAGGCGAAGCUCUUGAUCGAAGCCCCGGUAAACGGCGGCCGUAACGAUAACGGUCCUAAGGUAGCGAAAUUCCUUGUCGGGUAAGUUCCGACCUGCACGAAUGGCGUAACGCUGCCACACUGUCUCGACCCGAGACUCAGUGAAGUUGAAAUCGCUGUGAAGAUGCGGCGUUCCCGCGGCAAGACGGAGAGACCCCGUGAACCUUCACUACAGCUUUACACUGAACUUUGAACCUUUCUGUGUAGGAUAGGUGGGAGGCUAUGAAACUUGGGCGCUAGCUCGAGUGGAGCCAACCUUGAAAUACCACCCUGGGAUGUUUGAAGUUCUAACCUUGGUCCGUAAUCCGGAUUGGGGACAGUGUAUGGUGGGUAGUUUGACUGGGGCGGUCUCCUCCCAAAGAGUAACGGAGGAGUGCAAUGGUACGCUCAGCGCGGUCGGUCAUCGCGCUCUCUAGUGCAAAGGCAUAAGCGUGCUUAACUGUGAGACAGACACGUCGAACAGGUACGAAAGUAGGUCUUAGUGAUCCGGUGGUUCUGUAUGGAAGGGCCAUCGCUCAACGGAUAAAAGGUACUCCGGGGAUAACAGGCUUAUUCCUCCCAAGAGUCCACAUCGACGGAGGAGUUUGGCACCUCGAUGUCGGCUCAUCACAUCCUGGGGCUGUAGCAGGUCCCAAGGGUAUGGCUGUUCGCCAUUUAAAGUGGUACGCGAGCUGGGUUCAGAACGUCGUGAGACAGUUCGGUCCCUAUCUGCCGUGGGCGUUGGAAACUUGAGGGUGAGCUGUCCUUAGUACGAGAGGACCGGGAUGGACGUAUCUCUGGUGUUCCGGUUGUCACGCCAGUGGCACUGCCGGGUAGCUAUAUACGGACGGGAUAAGCGCUGAAAGCAUCUAAGCGCGAAGCCCCCCCCAAGAUUAGGUUUCCCUGGGAACUCGAUUCCCCUAAAGGGCCGUCGGAGACUACGACGUUGAUAGGCUGGGUGUGUAAGUGCAGCAAUGCAUUGAGCUAACCAGUACUAAUUGCCCGUGAGGCUUGACCGA